Mesocricetus auratus (golden hamster) is the source of this 104-nucleotide non-coding RNA. Lineage: Eukaryota; Metazoa; Chordata; Mammalia; Rodentia; Cricetidae. The record is from Rfam.
AGCUGUGCUUCAACAACACACUAAAAUUGGAACAAUUACACAGAAGAUUAGCAUGGCCCCUGCACAAAGAUGACAUGCAAUACAUGAAGCAUUCAGUGGGGUUU